GAUAAACGCUUGCGGUGUGCCUUAUGCAUGCAAGUCGAACGGGUCCGAUUUAUCGGACUAGUGGCGAACGGGUGAGUAACGCGUAAGUAACCUGCCCUUAAGUAGGGGAUAACUCUGAGAAAUUAGAGCUAAUACCGUAGUGGUGGUAGGGGUAAUGCUCUAUUACUAAAGCCUUAGGGUGCUUGGGGAGGGGCUUGCGUCCGAUUAGCUAGUUGGUAGGGUAACGGUUUACCAAGGCGAUGAUCGGUAGCUGGUUUGAGAGGACGGCCAGCCACACUGGGACUGAGACACGGCCCAGACUCCUACGGGAGGCAGCAGCAAGGAAUAUUGUGCAAUGGGCGAAAGCCUGACACAGCGACACCGCGUGGGGGAUGAAGGCUUUCGGGUUGUAAACCCCUUUUCUCAGGGAAGAAAAAUGACGGUACCUGGGGAAUAAGUCUCGGCUAACUACGUGCCAGCAGCCGCGGUAAUACGUAGGAGGCGAGCGUUAUCCGGAUUUACUGGGCGUAAAGAGAGCGUAGGUGGCUUUUCAAGUCGGAUGUAAAAUCUCCCGGCUUAACUGGGAGGGGUCAUUCGAUACUGUUAGGCUAGAGGGCAGCAGGGGGAGGUGGAAUUCCCGGUGGAGUGGUGAAAUGCGUAGAUAUCGGGAGGAACACCAGUGGCGAAGGCGGCCUCCUAGGCUGCUUCUGACGCUGAGGCUCGAAGGCGUGGGGAGCGAACAGGAUUAGAUACUCUGGUAGUCCACGCUGUAAACGAUGGACACUGGGUAUGGGGGGGUAUCGACCCCCUCCGUGCCGAAGCCAACGCGUUAAGUGUCCCGCCUGGGGACACGGCCGCAAGGCU
This 843-nucleotide ribosomal RNA is filed under the name uncultured Chloroflexota bacterium. RNAcentral describes it as "bacterial SSU rRNA". It matches the Rfam family "Bacterial small subunit ribosomal RNA", at positions 28 to 895 of the family's 1533-position model. Lineage: Bacteria; Bacillati; Chloroflexota. The record is from RNAcentral.